This 117-nucleotide ribosomal RNA is filed under the name Gloeobacter violaceus. The record is from RNAcentral. RNAcentral also lists the same sequence under 1 other name. Lineage: Bacteria; Bacillati; Cyanobacteriota; Cyanophyceae; Gloeobacterales; Gloeobacteraceae.
UCCUGGUGCUCAGGCGCAGUGGAACCACGCCGAUCCAUCCCGAACUCGGACGUUAAACGCUGCAGCAGCGAAGAUACUUGGAGGGCAGCUUCCUGGGAAAAUAGCCCGGUGCCAGGG